CUACGGGCGGCAGCAGUGGGGAAUAUUGGACAAUGGGCGAAAGCCUGAUCCAGCCAUGCCGCGUGUGUGAAGAAGGCCUUCGGGUUGUAAAGCACUUUCAGUGGGGAAGAAAGCCUUGGGGCUAAUACCCUCGAGGAAGGACAUCACCCACAGAAGAAGCACCGGCUAACUCCGUGCCAGCAGCCGCGGUAAUACGGAGGGUGCGAGCGUUAAUCGGAAUUACUGGGCGUAAAGCGCGCGUAGGCGGUCUGAUAAGCCGGUUGUGAAAGCCCCGGGCUCAACCUGGGAACGGCAUCCGGAACUGUCAGGCUAGAGUGCAGGAGAGGAAGGUAGAAUUCCCGGUGUAGCAGUGAAAUGCGUAGAGAUCGGGAGGAAUACCAGUGGCGAAGGCGGCCUUCUGGACUGACACUGACGCUGAGGUGCGAAAGCGUGGGUAGCAAACAGGAUUAGAUACCCCAGUAGUC
This 464-nucleotide ribosomal RNA is filed under the name Vreelandella stevensii. RNAcentral's name for it is "partial 16S ribosomal RNA". It matches the Rfam family "Bacterial small subunit ribosomal RNA", at positions 339 to 795 of the family's 1533-position model. The record is from RNAcentral. Lineage: Bacteria; Pseudomonadati; Pseudomonadota; Gammaproteobacteria; Oceanospirillales; Halomonadaceae.